UACGGAGGGGGCGAGCGUUAUUCGGAAUUAUUGGGCGUAAAGGGCGCGUAGGCGGCUGUACAAGUCAAAGGUGAAAUCCCUCGGCUCAACUGAGGAACUGCCUUUGAAACUGUACGGCUUGAGGCCGGGAGGGGGUAGCGGAAUUCCCAGUGUAGCGGUGAAAUGCGUAGAUACUGGGAGGAACACCAGUGGCGAAGGCGGCACUCUGGGCCGUGACUGACGCUGAGGAGCGAAAGCGUGGGUAGCAAACAGG
RNAcentral lists this ribosomal RNA (253 nucleotides) under uncultured bacterium. Its description in RNAcentral is "partial 16S ribosomal RNA". It matches the Rfam family "Bacterial small subunit ribosomal RNA", at positions 524 to 776 of the family's 1533-position model. The record is from RNAcentral.